GAUGAACGCUAGCUACAGGCUUAACACAUGCAAGUCGAGGGGUAGCAGGGUAGCAAUACCGCUGACGACCGGCGCACGGGUGAGUAACACGUAUCCAACCUUCCCAUAACUCGGGGAUAGCCUUUCGAAAGAAAGAUUAAUACCCGAUAGUACUUAUAUAGGGCAUCCUACAUAAGUUAAAGAUUGAUUGGUUAUGGAUGGGGAUGCGUUCCAUUAGGUAGUUGGUGAGGUAACGGCUCACCAAGUCUUCGAUGGAUAGGGGUUCUGAGAGGAAGGUCCCCCACAUUGGUACUGAGAAACGGACCAAACUCCUAAGGGAGGCAGCAGUGAGGAAUAUUGGUCAAUGGGCGAGAGCCUGAACCAGCCAAGUAGCGUGAAGGAUGAAGGUCCUAUGGAUUGUAAACUUCUUUUAUAGUAGAAUAAAGUGAUCCACGUGUGGAUUUUUGUAUGUAUACUAUGAAUAAGGAUCGGCUAACUCCGUGCCAGCCGCCGCCGUAA
RNAcentral lists this ribosomal RNA (498 nucleotides) under uncultured bacterium. RNAcentral's name for it is "partial 16S ribosomal RNA". It matches the Rfam family "Bacterial small subunit ribosomal RNA", at positions 28 to 523 of the family's 1533-position model. The record is from RNAcentral.